AACGCACAUUGCGCUCCCUGGUAUUCCGGGGAGCAUGCCUGUUCGAGCGUCAUUAUCAACCAUCAAGCCCUGCUUGGUAUUGGGUGUCGUCCCUGCUGUGGACGCGCCCUAAAGUAAUCGGCGGCGGUGUUGAACCUCAAGCGUAGUAAAAUCUCCAGCUUUCUAGGUGAAAUAUCGUUCAGCCUCGAGAACCCCCAUUUUCUCAAGGUUGACCUCGGAUCAGGUAGAGAUACCCGCUGAACUUAA
Molecule: unclassified non-coding RNA, 246 nt
Filed under: Hamatocanthoscypha sp.
Lineage: Eukaryota; Fungi; Ascomycota; Leotiomycetes; Helotiales; Hamatocanthoscyphaceae
Description: partial contains 5.8S ribosomal RNA, internal transcribed spacer 2, and large subunit ribosomal RNA
Rfam family: 5.8S ribosomal RNA (bases 1-52)
Source: RNAcentral